This 437-nucleotide ribosomal RNA is filed under the name uncultured bacterium. Its description in RNAcentral is "partial 16S ribosomal RNA". It matches the Rfam family "Bacterial small subunit ribosomal RNA", at positions 28 to 507 of the family's 1533-position model. The record is from RNAcentral.
GAUGAACGCUGGCGGCAUGCCUAACACAUGCAAGUCGGACGGGCAGUGGUGUUUCUUGUGGCGGUCGGGUUAGCAACGCGUGAGAACCUGCCCUUGGGAGGGGAACAACAGAUGGCAAGGGCAGCUACUAGAACGUAGGCCUAGGAGCAAAAGAUGGAAUCCGCCGGAUGAUGGGCUCGCGUCUGAUUAUCUAGUUGUAGAGGCAAUAGCUUACCACGGCGAUGAACAGUAGAUGUUAGGAGAGGAUGAUCAGCCACACUGGGACUGAGACACGGAGCAGAGACCCUCGGGCGACAGGAGAAAGGAUGUCUCCGCAAUGCGCGAUGGGCUAACAGGGCCUUGGGGCGGGGAAGCAGAAUGACUAGGGAUCAAGAACUUCGUUACUAAGAGAACAAGUCAUGACGGUAUCUGGGGAAAAAGCAUCGGCUAACUCCGUG